RNAcentral lists this ribosomal RNA (1483 nucleotides) under Bacillus subtilis. RNAcentral describes it as "bacterial SSU rRNA". It matches the Rfam family "Bacterial small subunit ribosomal RNA". The record is from RNAcentral. Lineage: Bacteria; Bacillati; Bacillota; Bacilli; Caryophanales; Bacillaceae.
UGGCGGCGUGCCUAUACAUGCAAGUCGAGCGGACAGAUGGGAGCUUGCUCCCUGAUGUUUAGCGGCGGACGGGUGAGUAACACGUGGGUAACCUGCCUGUAAGACUGGGAUAACUCCGGGAAACCGGGGCUAAUACCGGAUGGUUGUUUGAACCGCAUGGUUCAAACAUAAAAGGUGGCUUCGGCUACCACUUACAGAUGGACCCGCGGCGCAUUAGCUAGUUGGUGAGGUAACGGCUCACCAAGGCAACGAUGCGUAGCCGACCUGAGAGGGUGAUCGGCCACACUGGGACUGAGACACGGCCCAGACUCCUACGGGAGGCAGCAGUAGGGAAUCUUCCGCAAUGGACGAAAGUCUGACGGAGCAACGCCGCGUGAGUGAUGAAGGUUUUCGGAUCGUAAAGCUCUGUUGUUAGGGAAGAACAAGGACCGAUCGAAUAUGGCGGUACCUUUGACGGUACCUAACCAGAAAGCCACGGCUAACUACGUGCCAGCAGCCGCGGUAUACGUAGGUGGCAGCGUUGUCCGGAUUAUUGGGCGUAAAGGGAUCGCAGGCGGUUUCUUAAGUCUGAUGUGAAAGCCCCCGGCUCAACCGGGGAGGGUCAUUGGAAACUGGGGAACUUGAGUGCAGAAGAGGAGAGUGGAAUUCCACGUGUAGCGGUGAAAUGCGUAGAGAUGUGGAGGAACACCAGUGGCGAAGGCGACUCUCUGGUCUGUAACUGACGCUGAGGAGCGAAAGCGUGGGGAGCGAACAGGAUUAGAUACCCUGGUAGUCCACGCCGUAAACGAUGAGUGCUAAGUGUUAGGGGGUUUCCGCCCCUUAGUGCUGCAGCUAACGCAUUAAGCACUCCGCCUGGGGAGUACGGUCGCAAGACUGAAACUCAAAGGAAUUGACGGGGGCCCGCACAAGCGGUGGAGCAUGUGGUUUAAUUUGAAGCAACGCGAAGAACCUUACCAGGUCUUGACAUCCUCUGACAAUCCUAGAGAUAGGACGUCCCCUUCGGGGGCAGAGUGACAGGUGGUGCAUGGUUGUCGUCAGCUCGUGUCGUGAGAUGUUGGGUUAAGUCCCGCAACGAGCGCAACCCUUGAUCUUAGUUGCCAGCAUUCAGUUGGGCACUCUAAGGUGACUGCCGGUGACAAACCGGAGGAAGGUGGGGAUGACGUCAAAUCAUCAUGCCCCUUAUGACCUGGGCUACACACGUGCUACAAUGGACAGAACAAAGGGCAGCGAAACCGCGAGGUUAAGCCAAUCCCACAAAUCUGUUCUCAGUUCGGAUCGCAGUCUGCAACUCGACUGCGUGAAGCUGGAAUCGCUAGUAAUCGCGGAUCAGCAUGCCGCGGUGAAUACGUUCCCGGGCCUUGUACACACCGCCCGUCACACCACGAGAGUUUGUAACACCCGAAGUCGGUGAGGUAACCUUUUAGGAGCCAGCCGCCGAAGGUGGGACAGAUGAUUGGGGUGAAGUCGUAACAAGAGCCAUAAG